Panthera uncia (snow leopard) is the source of this 13342-nucleotide long non-coding RNA. RefSeq lists it as uncharacterized. The transcript has 2 exons. The record is from RefSeq and is a predicted model, not a curated record. Lineage: Eukaryota; Metazoa; Chordata; Mammalia; Carnivora; Felidae.
GAAACCCAUGCUAAGGGGAACGGUGCUUUGGUCCUUGAAACCCUAGGGGAUUUUCCUUCCCAGGUUGGCAUAUGCUGUCUGUGACCCAGCGUCACUGAACUUUCUGAAGACCAGGCUAGUGAUGGGAACAGGGUGCUGUGGACACAGUACCCCGGGGUGGCCAGUUCUGGUUGGAGCUUGUUUAAUGAGGCUCUGAUCCCAUCCCGUCAGCGAUAUUCGAUACAGAAGGAGCUCGGUGUGGCCGAGGUCCCCUGCGUGGGUGUUUUGCAUCAUUCUGGGGCAUUUCAGCGAAUUCUCCAGAGCCUGUCUCUGCGCUCGUAUUUCCCAAGCGGUCUAAUGGGACAGGUCACGUCUCCUGCCAAAGGUGACUGUCCUUGGAGCGCUGGCGUCAGUCCUGGUUUGGCCUGAGCACAGGAGGUCGGUGACUCCACAGCAGCCCGUGAUCCUGAAGUACUGAGUGCCCCACGGCCCCCUCUUCUCCCACCUAGUUUUGCUCCCGGUGGGAGUCGUGGGUACUGGUGUCUGACCCAGGCCUGUUGUCAGCUUGCUGAGCUUGCUCGUCAUCGGCCGCCUUCCUCUCCUCUGUCUUUCACGCUGUCCCUGAGUCGCCCCUGUCAGGCGUCUUCUCUUUAGCUUCUUUACGGGAUGAACAGCCUUGUGCGCCCAGCUUGAGUUCACGGAUGACGCGUUCCUUCCCUUUGCUGGUGUCAUGGCUGCUGCAGAACUGCAGACGAUGCUGUAGCCGGGGGAGGGCCGGCGGUGAGCCGGUGCCGCCCCAGGGGAGUUGUCCGGGAUAGGGACGCAGAGGGCGGCCGAAGGAAGGUGCUUUGCGGGGGGUGGGCACAGAGGGGAAGCCAGAGGCCUGGUCUCUUCCUGGCCUCUUCCUGGCCACUGACUUCCACCUGCGUCAGGGCCCUCGUUCUUUAUCAGCGAGGGGAAGUUCGUCCGACCCGUCUCACAGGUGUGCUCUUCGGGGAGCCCGUGCCUGUGGACACACUCUCAAAGCCUAAGCCCCAGGUAAAGGAGGGCACGUAUCCAAACUAUGUGGUUUGGGAAGUAUGUGAAUGGCACAAGAUCCUUACCACAAUCCCGAUCGCAUAAGCGUGGAGUGGUAGGGUGUGUGUGUGUUAUAACCUUGUGUGUGUGUGCGUCUGCGUGUGUUCGUUUAGUGCUGUUUUAGAUUUUUGAAGUUCCCACAGAAGUGGGGGUGUUAGAGUGUUACUGCUGUCUUUCUUGAAAAGACCCGUCCCCAACAGGAAUCCCAGGGAGGGCAUGUGAAUGAGUCCCGUGAAAGCCAUGGUUGCCCCACCUGCAAAUGCGGUGUUGCACUAGAAAACUGAGCUGCGAUCUCCCUGUGCAAAGCCCCUUCUGGUGUUUCUGAUGCCCAGCCCGGGCUGACUGGCCUGAGGCCCCUUCCCCUCCUGACAUGAAAGCCUGGUACCUUCCUCUUGAUUCACAGAAAGGAUUUGGUGGUUGGUGCCCUUCGCUAAGGUCCCUACCCCUCGAGAAGAAGCUGUUUGGGUGGAUACAGGGCGUUGGGUUUUGCUUUUCUGCUGCACUUGUCAGUGGUGCUGGUGGAGAGCUUCGCCUCCCAGCUCCCUCGCCUCCCAGCUCCUUCUUAGGCACGGGCCCCACGGGGCACCGCAGUCCUCCUGAGUUCUGCCACGACGGGAGCGGGAACCAGGCUCGAUUCCCAGGUGAUCUUUCCUUCUCUGUUAUUGCCGACCUGCUCUUUUUUGUCCAGAACUUCUUACUUAGAUCCUAGUCUCCCGGGACUGUUCUGGCUGGCUGAUAGCUCCUUCCAGCCAACCUCUGUCGUGUUAUUUAACCCAAAACCAGGCGGUGAGAUCAAGAAAAGGCAGAAAGGGGAUAACUCGUGCAAGCCUAUUAGAAUAAGACCUGAAGGCCCAGGAAGCAAGUUACGGUGGUUGCCCGUGGAGAGACCAGAGUAGCUGGGGCACCUGUUUCCCGUACGCACCUCCUUUUUGUGAAUUUUGUACCAUAUGCGUGUAUUAUCUGUUGAGAAGCUUUAAUCUAAAAAUGUACGCAAUUUGUAAUACGGUGAAGAGCUGAAAUUCUCUAAGGCAAGGAUGUUACCCACCAGCUUGAGAGAGGGACGUCAGUAAACGGACGUUACUGGGAGAGAGAGAGAGAGAGAAUGAAAAUGAAUGAGAAUGAAUACCAAGCAGGCUCCACGCCGUCAGCACGGAGCCUGAUGCAGGGCUUGGACUCAUGAAUCAUGCGAUCACGACCUGAGCUGAAAUCAAGAGUCAGACAGUUAGCUGACUGAGCCACGCGGGUGCUCCUUCCCUGACUUUCUUGACUAACAUCACAGUCUCACCUACCACCGCCUGUUACUUUUCCCUGUUUCAUUUUUUAAAUAUUUUUAUUGGAGAUUUUGUUACACACGUGUAUAUGUGCAUGCGUGUUUGCAUACACACAUCUGUGCAGUUGUGUUACAUAUAAAAAAGAAGUAUGUAUGUGUUAACUCAUUUAGUUGCCACAAACUGAACACAUCGGUGUGAUUAGCACAAAUCAGGAUACAAAAUUACCGGUACCCCAGGACCCCUUUUCUUGGGUCGCUACCUCCCACUCUCCAGAUGUAACCAGUGCCGACCUCUGACGGCACAGAGGAGUACUCACCAUAUGUGGCAUCACAGAGUAUUUCCUCUUUUGUAACUGUCUUGUCUCCUUUAGCAUCGUGUUUCGUGAGGUGGCUUCAUGUCGUGGCAGGUGGUUGUGCAUCCCCCAUUCUCAGUAGUGUAUGGUGUUCCAGUAUGUGAAGGUAGCACACUUAAUAUACACUCUCCUGUUGAUGGGCAUCGGGAUUUGUACUGAACGUGUCGCUGUGAAUAUCCGAGCACGUGUCUUGAUGAAGAGACGUAAGCAUCUCUGCCAGGAGUAUCCGGAAUCGGACAGAGGAUGGGCACGUAUCCCGUCUUACGAGCCCUUUCGCAGCGUUUGUAUCCAUUUCUGCUCCAUCAGCAGAGUUCAAGCUCAGCCACUCCACCUCCUCGCGUGGUAUUUGUCCUUUUCGUGUAGUUACUCUGUGGACCGUGUAGAGAGGUAUCUCAUUUUCUUACUAACUGAAAAAUAAGUUACAUACAUAAAAUGAAGAAAUCUUAAGUGUAUACACCUCAGUGAAUUUUACCUGGGUAUAUAUAUUCCUAUAACCACCACCUAGACUAAGAUAAAAAACAUUUUCAGCAGGGGCGCCUGGGUGGCUCAGUCGGUUAAGCAUCUGACUUCAGCUCAGGUCAUGAUCUCGCGGUCCCUGAGUUCAAACCCCGCGUCGGGCUCUGUGCUGACCGCUCAGAGCCUAGAGCCUGUUUCAGAUUCUGUGUCUUCCUCUCUCUCUGACCCUCCCCCGUUCAUGCUCUGUCUCAAAAAUAAAUAAACGUUAAAAAAAAUUAAAAAAAAAAAAACAUUUUCAGCAGCUCAGAAAGUUCCUCCUGCUUCUUCCCAGGCGAUACCACUGUGUAGAUUUUUAGCACUAUAGAUGAGUCUUUGAUCUGUUUUUGAAGUUCAUUUAACUGGAAUAAUUUAUUUUGUGCCCUUAAAUCUGGCUUACUUGCUCGACAUAAGGACUGUGAGAUUGAUCUAUGUUGUUACAUUAUCGGUAGUUCAUUCUCUUUUAUACACAGAGAGAAAUGAGAAAGCAAGAAACGUUUGACUACUUUCAACUAAACACAACUAAACACUAAAGAUAGUAAUGCAGGAAAUGAACAAAAACUCCAAGGUGUAUAGAAAACAAAUCGCAAAGUGACAGUAGGGAUGUUCUUACCAGUAACUAUUUUAAGUCUACGUUGAUUAAACUCCCAUCGAUCGACAGAGACUGGCAGAAUGGGUGAAAUGGUCCAACUAUCUCUUGUCUGCAAGAGACUCACCUUAAACCCAAAGGCACGGGUAGAUUAGAAGCAAAAGGAUGGAAAAGGAUAACAUUCCGUGUAGAUAGUUAGCAGAAGAGAGUAAGAUGGCUAUACUGAUAACCCACAAAAAAGACUUAGAAACAUUUUUUUUUUACAUUUAUUUGUUUUUGAGAGACCGAGCACAAGUGGGGGAGGGGCUGAAAGAGAGGGAGACACAGAAUCCGAAGCAGGCUUCAGGCUCUGAGCCGUCAGCACAGAGCCCGACGCGGGGCUCAAACCCUCAGACCGCGAGAUCGUGACCUGAACCGAAGUCGGACGCUCAACCAAUUGAGCCGCCCCUAAGUCUCAGUAGUUUUAAAAAGAUAUAUCAUAUAGGGACAUCUGGGUGGCCCAGUCAGUUAAGUGGCCAACUUCGGCUUUGAGCCCCACAUCAGGCUGUCUUCUGUUAGCACAGAGCCCGCUUUGCAUCCUCUGGCCCCCUCUCUCUCUGCCCCUCUUCUGCUCACGCGCGCUCUCUCUCUAAAAUAAAUAGCAUUUAAAAAAAACAUCAGGGCACCUGGGGGACUCAGUUGAUUAAUAAGCAUCUGACUUUAGCUCAGGUCAUGAUCUCACAGUUCAUGAGUUUGAGCCCCACGUUUGGCUCUGUGGUGACAACUCAGAGCCUGGAGCCUGCUUCGCCUCUGUGUCCCCCUCUCUCUCUUCACCUCCCCUGCUCAUUCUCUGUCUCUCUCUCUCUCAAAAAUAAAUAGACAUUAAAAAAACUUUUUUUAACAUAAAAAAAUAUAUCCUACAAAUUACCUUCUCCAGUCACCACAGGAUGAAGUUAGAAAUCAGUAAUAGAAGUGAAACUGGAAAAUUCGUAAAUCUGUAGCUAUUAAACAACGCACUCUAAACCAAUGGAUCAAAGAAGAAGUCACAUGGGAAAUCCUAAAAUACUUAGAAAUGAAUGAAAACAAAAACAACAUACCAAGACUUCCAGAGCUCAGUAUAAAAACAGUGUGCUAAAGGGGAAAUUUUUGGCUAUAAAUGCUGACAUUAAAAAACAAAGACCUCAAAUCAACCUAAUUUUACAACCGAAGGAAAUAGAAGAAUGAACUAAAUCCAAAGCUAGUUAGCAGAAGGGGAGAAGUAAAAGAUUAGAGAAGAGGUAAAUGAAAUAGAGAAUAGAAAGACAAUAAAGAAAAUCAGUAAAAGUACAGUUGGUUCUUCAGAAGAUCAACACAUCAACAAACUUUUAGCUAGGUGGACGAAGACAAAAAGAAGAUUCAGGUUCUGAAAUCAGAAAUGAAAAUGGGGACUUAUUACUGAUUCUACAGAAAUAGAAAGGAUUGUAAGAGAGACAGUUGUACACCAACAACUUUGAUACCUGGAUGAAAUGAGACAAACUCCUAGAAACACACAACCUACCAAGACUAAAUUAUGUAGAAAUGGGAAAUCUAAAUGGACCUGGUAAGGAUGUUGAAGCAGUAACGAGAAAUGUGGCAGAGAAUAGCCCUGGUCCUGAUGCCUUAUGGCCUCCCAUGGUGAAUUCUACCGAACAUUUUACAAAGAACUAAUGCCAGAGCGCCCAGGGGGCUCAGUCAGUGGAGCGUCUGCCUCCUGAUUGCCGCUCAAGUCAUGAUCUUGUGGUUCAUGGGAUUGAGCCCCACAUUGGGCUCUGUUUGGGAUUCUCUCUCUGCCCCUCCCCCCACUCACUUUUUGUGUGUGCUCUUGCUCUCUCUCUGUCUCUCUCCCCCCCCCCCCCAAAUGAUACCAGUGCUUCUAAAACUUUUCCAAAAAUUUCAGGGAAGGGGAGGGGAGUACUUCCUAACUCACUCCAUGAGGCCAUCAUGACCCUGAUACUGAAGCCAAAGACUAUAAGAAAACUACAGACCAGGGGCACCUGGGUGGCUCAGUCGGUUGAGCGUCCGACUUUAGCUCAGCUCAUGAUCUCAUGGUUCGUGGGUUUGAGCUCCGCGUCGGACUCUGUGCUGACACCCGGGAGCCCGGAGCCUGCUUCAGAUUCUGUGUCUCCCUCUGUCUCUCUCUGCCCCUCCCCUGCUCGUGCUUCCUCGCUCACUCUAUCUCUCAAAAAUAAAUAAACGUUGAAAAACAACUUAAAAAAAAAACAACACAAAACUACAGACCAGUAUCCCUUAUAAACACAAAUGCAGAAAUCUUCAACAAAAUACUAAUAAACCAAAUUCAGCAGCCUAUUAGAAGGAUUGUACACCACGACCACGUGCAAUUUAUUUUGACAAUGCAAGCAUGGUCCCAACACAUGCAAGUCGGUAAUUGUAACAUACCACAUUAACAGAGCGAAGGAGAAAAGAACACAUGAUAUUCUUGAUGCAGAAAAAACAUUUGACAGAAUUCAAUACCCUCUGAUAAACACAGUCAACACUACGAAUAAAUGGAAAUUACUUCCACAUAAUUAAAUCUAACAGCAUCCUAAGUGGUGAGAGACUUGAAAGGUUUUCCUCUAAGACCAACAAGACAAGGCCACCUUCGAGCACCGUCCUAGUCAGUGAAAUACCAGAAGUUCUAGCCAGAGCGGUAGCCAAGGAAAAGAAACAGAAGCCUCCAAAUGGGAAAGGAAGAAGUAAAGUCAUCUCUGCUCGUAGAUAAUACGAUUUUAUAGGAGGAAAACCCUAACGAUUCCACAAAAAUUUUGUUUGAACUAAUUAAUGUUAACUCAGCAAAGUAGCGAGAUACAAAGUAAGCGUGCAGAAAUCAUUUGCAUUUUUAUACACUAAUAGUGAAUGAUCUGAAAAGGAAAUUAUGAAAAUAAUUCCAUUUACAGUAGCAUCAAAAAAAAAUUUACUUAGAAUUAACCAAGGAAUUAAAAGACAUGUGACUGCAAAACAGUGCUGAAAGAAAUUAAAGAAGAUAUAAAUAAAUGGAAACACAUCUCAUGUCCAUGUAUUAGAAAAUUUAAUAUUUUAAAAUGUCAGUACUACCCAAAGCGAACUACAGUUUCAGUGCAAUCCCUGUCAAAAUCUUAAUGAUCUUUUUUCUAUUAAUAAAAAAAGAGGGGGUGCCUGGCUGGCUGGGUUAGUAUAGCAUACAUCUCAAUCUCAGGUCGUGAGUUCAAGCCCUAUGUUGGGCACGGAGCUUACUUAAAAUAAGAAAUAAUAAAUAAAUAAGUAAAUAAUAAAAGAGAAAUUCUCCUUGUGAAACUCCUAUGAAAUCUCAAGGGACCCCAAAUAGCUAAAACAAUCUUGGAAAAGAAGAAUAAAGUGGAGUACUCCCUUCCUGAUUUCACAACUUACUAUAAAACCACAGUAACCAAAAUAGUGUGGUACUUGCGUAAAGACAGACACAUCGAUCAAUGGAAUACAAUAGAAAACCCAGAAUUAAAUCCUUGUGCUGCAUUCAAAUGAGUUUUGACAAGGGUGCCAGGAACACUCAUCAGGGACAGAAUGGUCUUUUCAACCAAUGUACUGGGAAAACUGGAAACCCACAUGUAAAAGAGUAAAGUUGGACCAUUAUCUAGCACUGCAUACAAAAGUUAACUCAAAGUGUAUCUUAGGCCUGAAUGUAAGACCUAACACUAUAAAACUUUGAAGAAAACAUAGGGCAAAACUUCAUGACAUGGGAUUUGGAAGUCAUUUCUUGGAUAGGACACCAAAGAUAGAGGCAGCAAAAGAAAAACACAGACAAAUUCGAUUCUACGUGAAAAAUUUUAAAUUUUGCACAUCAGAAGACACUAAUCGGCCGAGUAAGAGAGCUACCCAGAGAAUGGGAGAAAAUAUUUAAGUCAGGUAUGUGAUGAGAGGUUAAUAUCCAGACUGUACUGAGAAUUCUCAAAACUGAACAAAAAAGCUCUCCGGUUCAAAAGUGGACAUUAGACUUGAAUAGACUUUUCUCCAGAGAAGAUAAUCAAUAAACAUAAGAAGAUGCUCAACACCACUGAUUAUUACAGAAGGGCGAAUCAAAACUACAAUGGAAUAAUGUUUCCUGCCCAGUAGGAUCACCACAAUAAAAAUAACAGAAAAGAACAACUUCUGGCAAGGAUGUGGAGAAAUCAGGAUCCUGUGUAAUGCUGGUGUUGGGAUAUUAAAUGGUGUGGCUGCUGUGGGAAACAGUAUGAUAAUUCAUCAAAAUAUUAAAAAUAGGAUUACUGGGGGUGCCUGGGUGGCUCACUUGGUUAAGCAUCUGACUCAGGUCAUGAUCUCACAACUCAUGAGUUGGAGCCCCGCGUCAGACUCUGUGCUGACAGCUCAGAGCCUGGAGCCUGCUUUGGAUUCUGUGUCUCCCUCUGUCUCUCUGCCCCUCUCCCGCUUGCAUUCUGUCUCUCUCAAAAAAAAGUGCAUAAACAGUAGUAAAAACAAAACAAAAAAAAAGUUAAAAAUAAUAGGGUUACUGGAUGAUCCAGCAAAUCCACUUCUGGGUGUACAAAGAAGAAUUAAGAGCAGGGUCUUGAAGAGAUACUGGCACACCUGUGUUUGUAGCAGCAUCAUUCACAAUAGCUGCAACAUGAAAACAGCCUGGGUGUCUGUCAAGGACAAGUGAGUACGCAAAAUGCAGCAUAAACAUACAGUGGAAUAUUACUGAGCCUGGGAAAGGAAGGAAGCCCUGUCACAUGCUAUAGCAUGGACGUACCUUGAAGAUACUGUGCCAAGUGAAAUUAGCGAAUUGACAAGAAGAGAAGCACCGUAUGAUUCUAUUUGUACGGGAUACUUACAGUGUUCACAGUCACAGAGUCACAAAGGAAAUGCUGGUUUCCAGGACUGGGAGCAGGAAGAAUGGGGAGUUAUUGUUUAAUGGACCUAGAGUUUCUGCUUUAUAAGAUUAAAAGUUAUUGAGAAUAGUGGUGAUGGUUGCAUGACAUCAUGAAUUUAUUUAAUACUCCUGAACCAUAUCCUUAAAAAUGGUAAAGAUGGUUAAUUUUAUGUAUAUUUCACUACAACAAAAAUUGAAGGAAAAAACCCCAAUUAUAUACAAAAGGCAGAAAAAGAGUGGUAGGCAAACAUAGGAAUGAUGAACGGAGGUAAAUUAUAAAAAACAGUAACAAGUACAGUAGAUAUUAAUCCAUCUGUAUCGAUGAUAACUCUGAAUGUUAGUGCCCUAAGUGCCAGUUAAACCAAUUAAAAGAGAUUGUCAGAGUGAAUCAAAAACACAACCCAACUAUAGUCUACCCACCCCUAAAAAACUACUUUUUAAAAAAAAUUUUUUUUAACAUUUAUUUAUUUUUGAGAGAGAGAUAGAGUGUGAGCAGGGGAAGGGCAGAGAGGGAGGGCAACACAGAAUCCAAAGCACACUCCAGGCUCUGAGCUGUCAGUACAGAGCCUUAUAUGGGGCUCGAACCCACAAACCAUGGGAUCAUGACCUGAGCUCAAGUCGGAUGCUUAACUGAGCUACCCAGGCACCUCAAAACCCACUUUAAAUAUACAGACACGUGGUGAUUAAAAGUAAAUAGAUGAAUGGGGCACCUAGGUGGCUCAGUUAGUUAAGCAUCCGGCUCUUGAUUUCAGCUCAGCUCAUGAUCUCAAGGUCAUGGGAUUCACGCCCAGCACGGAGCCUGCUUCAAGCUUCUCUCCCUCCCUCCGCUGCUCAUGCUCUCUUUAAAAAAAGUAAAUAGAUGGAGAAAAAUUCACCAUACCAACAUUAGUCAAAAGAAAGCAGGAAUAGCUGUAUUAAUUUCAACAGAGCAGACCUCAAAGUAAAGAAAGUUUCCAGGCAAGAAAAGCAUUACAUUUUGAUAAAAGUGUCGGUUUUCCAUAAUUCUUACCAUGAUGCACCUAACAGCAUAGCAUCAAACCACGAGAGACAAAAACUGGCAGAACUGCAAGGAGAGAUAGAUGAUGAAUCUGUUAUCAUAGUAGAAGACUUCAACACGCCUUCUCAGAAAUGGACCGAUCCAGCCAGCAGAAAAUCGGUAAGGACACCAUUGAACUUAACCCUGUCAAUCAACUAGCUACCACGGACAUCUGUAGACUACCUCAUCCAAAACAGCAGAAUUCACAUACUUCUCAAGAAUUCACUUUGUUCUCACAUGGAAUAUUAACCAAGAUAGACUGCAUUCUGGACCAUAAAACACACUUUUGCAAGUUUAAAAGAACAGAAAUCAUAUAAUGUCUGCCGUCAGAGCCCAGUGGAAUUAAACUAGAAGUCAAUAACAGAAAAAUAGCUGGGAAAUCUCAAAAUAUUUGGAGAUUAAAUAACAUGCUUCUACAUAACACAUGAGUCAAAGAAGAAAUUUCAAGGUAAAUUUUUUAAAAUUUUGAACGAAAUGAAAACAAAAUGUGUGAGAUGCAGCAAAAGCAGUGCUUAUAGGGAAAUUUAUAGCAUCAGAUGCAUAUAUUAGAAAAGAAGAAAGAUGUAAAAUCAAUACUCUAAAUUUCAACCUUAAACUGGAAAAAGAAAAGCAAAAUAAGGCCAAAGUGAUCAGAAGAAAAUAAUUACAGCAAAAAUCAAUGAAAUCAGGAAGUCAGUAGACAAAAUCACAAAACGAAAAGCUGGUUUUUUGAAAAGGUCAGUAAAAUUGAUAAUGUUCUAACCAGGCCAUGUAAGAAAAAAGACACAAGUUACUAAUAUCAGAAAUGGGGGCACCUGGGUGGCUCAGUCUGUUGGGUAUCUGACUUUGGCUCAGAUCAUGGCCUCACAGUCUUUGAGUUUGAGCCCUGCAUUAGGCUCUGUGCUGACAUCUCAGAGCCUGGAGCCUGCUUUGGAUUCUGUGUCUCCCUCUUUCUCUAUUCCUCCCCCACUUGUGCUCUGUGUCUCUCUGUCUCUCAAAAACGAAUAAAUGUUUAGGAAAAUAAAUAAAUAAAAUAAAUGAAAGAGGGGACAUCACUACAGAUCCCAUGGAAAUUGAAUAGAUAAAGAAGAAUACUGCAAACGACUCUUAUUUCCACAAAUUUGAUAACCUAGAUAAAAUGAACCAAUUUCUUGAAAAAUAAAAUCUGCCAAAACUAGCACAAGAAGAGAUAGAUGAUAUGAAUAGGCUUAUAUCUAUUAAAGAAAUUGAGUCAAUAACCUUUCCAAACCAAAAGCACCAGGUCCAGAUGGGUUGACUGGUGAAUUCUGCCAAACCUUUAAGGAGGAAAGUUAGCAGUUCUCCACAAUCUCUUUGAGAGGAUAGAAGCAGAGGGAAUACUUCAUAAUUCAUUUCAUUAGGCCAGCAUUACUCUAAUACCAAAACCAAAAACAUUCCAAGAAAAGAAAACUAGAGAACAAUAUCUCUCAUGAAUAUAAAUGCAAACAUCUUCAACAAAAUAGCAAAGCAAAUCCAGAAAAAGUAUAAAAAGCUGACCAAGUGGGAUUUAUACCAAGUGUGCAAGGCCAGUUCACCAUUCAAAAGUCAAUUAAUGUAAUCUACCAUGUCAACAGACUAAAAAAAUAAAAAUUACAUGAUCCUGUAAAUAGCUACAGAAAAGAGAUCUGGCAAAAUCAAUACUCAUUCAUAAUAAUAAUAAUAAUAAACCCCUCAUUAAACUAGGAAUAGAAGGGAACUUUUUCAACUUGAUAAGGACUAUCUUUCAAAAGAACCUACAGCUAGUAGCACACUUCAUGGUGACAAACGAAGCUUUCCCAUAAAGAUCAAGGAUGAGGCAUGGGGACCCCUUCACCACUCCUUACCAACAUCAUACUGUAAGUCCAUGCUGUUGCAGUAGGCAAGGAAGGGAGGUAAAAAGUAUACAUACUAGGGAAGAAGACCUAAAACUGUCUUUGUUUGCAGAUGACGUGAUCACCUAUGUAGAAAAUCCAAAAGAAUUAACCAAAAAAAAAAAAAAAAAAAAAAAAUCCUGGAACUACUAAGCUAUGAUAGCAUGGUUGCUAGAUGCAAGGUUAAUAUGCAAAAGUCAGUUGCUUUCACAUGUGCCAAUAAUGGAACAAGUGGCUUACAUUUAAAACAAUUUAAUUUACGUUAACACCCUUAGAGUAAAAUACUAAGGUAUAAUUCUAAUUACAAAAUAUGUACAAGAUCUAUAUGAGGAAAACUGCAAAGUUUAGGUGAACAGAAUUUAAGAGCUAAAUCAUAUUCCGUGUCUGUGGAUAGGAAGCCUUAAUAUUUUCAAGAUGUUACUUUCUCCCAGUUUGAUCUAUAGAUUCAAUUCGAUCUCAGUCAAAAUCCCAGCACAUUAUUUUAUGGAUAUUGACAAACUGAUUCUAAUGUCUCUAUGGAGAGGCAAGAGACCCAGAACAGCCAGCACACUAUCGAAGGGGAAAGACACAUUUGGAGGAGUGAUGCUACCCAACUUUAAGACUCACUGUAAAGCCACGUUAAUCAAGACAGUGUGGCCUUGACAGAAGAACAGAGCAACAGAUGGGGUGCCCGGAGGGUCAGUUGGUUAAGUGUCUGACUUCAGAUCAGGUUGUAAUCUCACGGUUCCUGAGUUCAAGCCCCGCAUCAGGCUGUCCGCACAGAGCCUGGUUUAGAUCCUCUGUCCCCUUCUCCCUCUUCCCUUCCCCGACUCAUGCACGUGCACUCGCUCUCUCAAAAAUAAACAUUAAAAAUUUUUUUUGAAAACAUUUGCAGGAUCUGUUAAAGGUAUGGUAUCCUUAAUACAAAGAACUCUUGAAACUCAGUAAUAAAAAAAACAACCUGAUUAAAAGGUGGACUGAAGACCUUAACAGACACCACACCAGGAAAGAUACACAGAUGGCAAAUAGACACAUGGAAGGAUGCUCAAGGGUGUAUAACAACGGGAAUUGUCAAACAUGGCUGGUGGGAAUGCGAGAUGGCACGGCCACUCUGGAGGCCACCGUGGUGCUUCUUACAAAGUUAAACAUGCUCUGAGCAUAUGACUCAGUAGUCCUGCUCUGAGGCAUUUACCCAAAGGAAUCGAAACAUAUAUUCGCACAAAAACAAAAUAAAAUAAAUAAAAAUAACGUGGAUAUUUAUAGCAGCUUUAUUUGUAACUGCCAAAACUUACAACUAAGUGUAACAACUAAGAUGUCUUUCAGUAGGUGAAUGAAUUACUAACCUCUAGUCCAUCCAGACAGUGCAGUAUUCUUCAACUCGAACAAGAAAGGAGCUUUGGAGCCUUCGAGGAGAGAAGAAGGGAGGAAAAGUGCCUGGUGUCCAAGGCGAGCUGGGCACACCCUGUCCCCACAGUGGGCACAAAAAGAACUUUUUUUAAUAAAAGAAAUGAGCUGUGGAGCCAUGAGCAGACAUGAGGCACCUUAGAUACAUACUGCUAAGUGAAAGAAACCGUGUGGGAAGGCUCCGUACUGUAGGGUUGCGUCCAUGUGACAUUCUGGAAGAGGCGGAAAUAGGAAACGAUAAACAUCGCAGCUGGCACGUGGUAAGGGCGAUGAGUAGAUAGGCACAAGGAUUUCCUAAAACGGUAGAAAUGUUCCGUGUGCAGUUAUAUUAUAGAAAGAUGUUAUUAGACUUCUGUCCCAACACGUACAAGGUGCACCACCGAAAGUGAGCCCGAAGGUAAACCAUGGACUUUGGGUGAUCAUGUGUCGGUGUAGGUUCAUCCUUGGUUUAAAAAUAAAAGGUCCAUUCUCGUGAAUGAUGUUGAUCAGGGAGAUUGUGGGUG